This 475-nucleotide long non-coding RNA is filed under the name Panax ginseng (ginseng). Its description in RNAcentral is "long non-coding RNA (PGIN_LNC016975)". The record is from RNAcentral. Lineage: Eukaryota; Viridiplantae; Streptophyta; Magnoliopsida; Apiales; Araliaceae.
AAAAAUUCUGAAAUUAGGGUUUGCUAAUUAAUUAAGCUUUACCCUAAUUAAUAUUAUAAUUAAUAGCACUUAAGCAUUAUACUUAUCCGAUAAUUUCUCGGAUUAGGGUUUCGGACUCCCGGAACUGAAAUUAGGGUUUCCAGAACCGAUUUCUAGGGUUUCUUAUAAAACGUAAUAAUUUUAUAACUGAACGUGGACGUUCUUAAUAUAUACUAUUAGGGUUUGACACAGAUAUAAUUUAUCUGGUCAACACUUGACCCUUAACCACAUUCUGUACACAUGAUACCGUAAUCUUGAACAUAUACACAUAUACCCUUAAUCCUGAAUAAUUCACUAAAAGAAAUUUUAAAUGCUCAAAAUUCCUUUCUGAAAACAUCAAACACAUUCACUUAUUUUCUGUCUAGGUCUAUUAUUUGACCUUAAAACAAUCAUUUAAGAUUUUAAUAAUUUUCUAAUUUCUCGGGUUGUCACAUAU